Long non-coding RNA from Aegilops tauschii subsp. strangulata, 813 nucleotides. RefSeq lists it as uncharacterized. NCBI's taxonomy places the organism in Eukaryota, Viridiplantae, Streptophyta, Magnoliopsida, Poales, Poaceae. The record is from RefSeq and is a predicted model, not a curated record.
CCCCGUGCUCCGUGGGCUCCCUCUGCCACGUGGGCUCCUCCCUGCGUGUCCCCGUCGCCUUCCCCCGAGCUCGAGCGCGCGCACACGCGUCCGCGGCGACGCCAGCGCGACACUCCCUUGCCCGGCUAUAAAUAGCCAUCCCCGGCCUCGUUCGAGCUCACCACCAGCCUCGACUCGCUCCUCUAGUCCUCCCUAGUGCCUUGCCCGAGCUCGAGCCGCUCUCCUCGACCCCCAUCGCCACCAUGGCCGCCGCGGCCUCCCUCCUAAAUUAGCUCGAGUCCGAGACUCCCUCUCCCUCUUUCCACUUCUAGUAGACAGCCCGGAGCAUCCUGAACCUCCCGACAUCUUCUCCUCCUCCUCGGGUGGCCAGGAGUGCCAAGUCCAUCAUCGCCCGUAGCCACCGUCCGCCGUCCUCAAAACUGCUCUCGCCUCGGUGCUCCUCGAUGGCCGUGCCCUACGCCAUCAGAUGCGCCGCUUCUUCCCGAGCACGCCGGUGUGCCGAGCUCCGCGGGAGAUGGCCGGAGUCGCCGGGACUCGCCGUCGAGGCGGCCGGCCUCGCCUCUGCCUCUCUUGAGCGCGGCAGGAAGAAGAAGGAACGAGGGAGGAGAGAGAGUCAACGGCGGGCCCCACCUGUAAGUGACCCAGGAGCCCGGCCCCGCUGUUGAUGACGUGGAUAAGUCGAAGCGCCACGGGGACCCGGCUGUGAAUAUUAUUUUUACAGAAAUGUCCCUGAUCUUCUACACCUCAUAACUCCGCAACCGUAACUCCGUUUGAGCCCCUCCGAGAGAGAACUGUUUCCGGCAAAUCUUUCCG